RNAcentral lists this microRNA (21 nucleotides) under Homo sapiens (human). RNAcentral's name for it is "hsa-miR-7856-5p". Lineage: Eukaryota; Metazoa; Chordata; Mammalia; Primates; Hominidae. The record is from miRBase by way of RNAcentral.
UUUUAAGGACACUGAGGGAUC